CCUAGUAACUGCGAGUGAAGCGGGAAAAGCUCAAAUUUAAAAUCUGGCGGUCUUUGGCCGUCCGAGUUGUAAUCUAGAGAAGUGUUAUCCGCGCUGGACCGUGUACAAGUCUCCUGGAAUGGAGCGUCAUAGAGGGUGAGAAUCCCGUCUUUGACACGGACUGCCAGGGCUUUGUGAUGCGCUCUCAAAGAGUCGAGUUGUUUGGGAAUGCAGCUCAAAAUGGGUGGUAAAUUCCAUCUAAAGCUAAAUAUUGGCGAGAGACCGAUAGCGAACAAGUACCGUGAGGGAAAGAUGAAAAGAACUUUGGAAAGAGAGUUAAACAGUACGUGAAAUUGCUGAAAGGGAAACGCUUGAAGUCAGUCGCGUUGUCCGGGGAUCAACCUUGCUUUUGCUGGGUGUACUUUCCGGUUGACGGGUCAGCAUCAAUUUUGACCGUUGGAUAAAGUCUUUGGGAAUGUGGCUUCCUCGGAAGUGUUAUAGCCCAAGGUCGCAUACAACGGUUGGGAUUGAGGAACUCAGCACGCCGAAAGGCCGGGUACUUGUACCACGUUCGUGCUUAGGAUGCUGGCAUAAUGGCUUUAAUCGACCCGUCUUGAAACACGGACCAAGGAGUCUAACAUGCCUGCGAGUGUUUGGGUGGAAAACCCGAGCGCGUAAUGAAAGUGAAAGUUGAGAUCCCUGUCGUGGGGAGCAUCGACGCCCGGACCAGACCUUUUGUGACGGAUCCGCGGUAGAGCAUGUAUGUUGGGACCCGAAAGAUGGUGAACUAUGCCUGAAUAGGGUGAAGCCAGAGGAAACUCUGGUGGAGGCUCGUAGCGAUUCUGACGUGCAAAUCGAUCGUCAAAUUUGGG
RNAcentral lists this ribosomal RNA (851 nucleotides) under Psilocybe sp. RNAcentral describes it as "LSU rRNA". It matches the Rfam family "Eukaryotic large subunit ribosomal RNA", at positions 79 to 915 of the family's 3401-position model. Lineage: Eukaryota; Fungi; Basidiomycota; Agaricomycetes; Agaricales; Agrocybaceae. The record is from RNAcentral.